GCAGUACUUAAUGUAAUGCUUACAGCGUAUGAAUUAGUAGGAACAGUGAGUUGGACAGGCUUCUUGCAGAGGUAGAUGGUUAACUGCUGAGAGAGUUCUGGACUGAGGAUCUGUUCCAGCAAACUGCAGCAGCAGAUGAAGCUGCUUUAGAGCCUUUUGCUGUACUGAAUGAUGUCUUGACUUGUGAGGAGCGUUGGGGCAGUGGAUAGAGCUCUCAAUCUGAUUGUGAAUUGGGACAAAUGAUUUGUAGCUUAAAGGUGGUGAGUUUAGGGGUCACAAGAUUGUGUUUGGGUCAAGUCAGAGGUGGAAGAGACUGGACAUCAAGUUUGUUGUUGGAUCUUGAAAGGAAAGGAUCAUGGUGGUUUUGCUGAGUGUGGGCUUGGUGAUUUGAGUUGGGCUGUGUGAGAGGGUCUGAAGAGCAACAUUUAUUGUUUGUCUUCCAAGCCUACAAGAUGAGAGUGGGGGUGAUUGUGGUCAGCCUGCUAGCAAAUGAUGAAGAGCCGACAGGUUUGUCCUGAGAGAGGUUGUUAUUAGCAGUAACAUGGGGAGCGUUAACACCCUCAAGGAGAUGUACAGUCAGAUGUCCAGAAGUGCUCUAAAAACCAGCGUCUGUAACCUGAAAUAAAUAACUUCAAAAGGAAGACUUGCCAAGUACUUGUGGAUAAGAGGUGCAAAGGCUUCCAAAUGCCUUCCACAGAGAUAAAAUCCUACCUACCUGCUUCACUGUCACUGCACCAUGAAUCUGAAUUAUCUUGACUUCUAAUCUGUGAAAUACAGGGUCAGAAAUAAAAAUAUUACCUGCUGUCUAGAAGGCGGCAGCAACUACAGGCAGUUUGGAAAGUUGUUCCAGUUCCUCUGAACAGUAGAAGCAGUGCAAAGUGACCAGCGAUGGAGACUGACGAGUGGAGAGGAGUAUGGAAGAAGCGAAAAUUUAAGCAAAAACUUCUGAAGUCAACAAAAGGAACUGUAUAUUUUUAUUGUAAUGCUAUCUUCUAUGCUCUUUAUCUUCCCCAGCAAUAGAGAAAGCUUGAAGAACUGAUUAAAUGACUCUCAGGAUAACUUUUUGAUCAGGUAAUAUAAAUUGCCAUGGAAGCUGGAGAAGUACAGCUCACAAUAAGGGAGCUAAGAUUCCUCCAGCCCACACAGAGAUUUAAAAUCAAAUCUUGAAGCAUGGAUAAAAAUAUAUACAGAAGGAAUGAAAAACAAUGAGUGCUAAUGCGUCCUACAAUAUUUCCCACAUUAUUUCUCUUCUUGUUGAUCACGGCUGUGAUCUUUUCUUCAUAAUUUUGAAGUCAAACUCUAAGAAAAAUAUGACAACUAUUUUUUUUUUUUGCUUGUUUGUUUGUUUUGAGCCCAUCAGGCUUUUAAGCUGAAGGUUUUACUGCGGAGCACUAUGAUACGUUUACAAUGGCAGCUUCUCAGUCAACGUGUACCUGUGUGCAUUUACAGAAAAACAUGUGCCUCACAAAGUAGAAAAUACAUUUUAAAUUACUUUUUGACGCAUUUUGGCUUGCUUGCAAUUCAUCCUUGCAUUUUCCCUAUUGAAUUAUUUAUUAAUCUCUGGCUGUUUUAUUGAAGGGGUUAUACAGGCAUCACUGAAGACAUUCGAUGAAGAAACUGAACAAAGCUGUCCUGGAGAGACAAGGCUCCACAAAUCAAUUAGCUCUUUCUUUCCAGCAGUGAUAGACAGGGAAAGCCUGUCUUGAGCUUGCAUACUUGGUAAUGGUGCCAGCUGUUGCUUAUAAGCGGUGUGAUGGUGAUUGCUGAUUGCCUUGUGGUGCUGCCUGAGGAAUUACAUGAGUGGCAGGGAGGGAAGAAGAUGUGGCACCUCUCCUGGAGAGUGGUAGCUCAUGUUUAUUAACCAGUCCCUGCUGGUAUGUUUUUUAUUUAGAUUUAAUAUUAAACAAAACACCUGUGCAAAAGCCCAAGAUCCUCUUCAGAAGUAAUUAGAUUUGCAAUUGCUGCCCAGCAGCACAAGGAUGAAUGUACCAAUAAAUGAACUCUGCUAGCCUACGCCAGUGAGAACAGCAAUUUAGCCCAGCAGAUGAAAAUAGAAUUGCAAUGAAGCCUCUCAUUUCCAAGGCCAUCCAAGAA
Molecule: long non-coding RNA, 2094 nt
Organism: Gallus gallus (chicken)
Lineage: Eukaryota; Metazoa; Chordata; Aves; Galliformes; Phasianidae
Source: Ensembl